AAGAAUUUAGUUAAUAUAUAACGAUGAAUUGUCAUUUCAUAAUUACUUUUAGUAAUUCUUA
RNAcentral lists this transfer RNA (61 nucleotides) under Varroa destructor (honeybee mite). RNAcentral describes it as "tRNA-Asp". Lineage: Eukaryota; Metazoa; Arthropoda; Arachnida; Mesostigmata; Varroidae. The record is from RNAcentral.